RNAcentral lists this microRNA precursor (222 nucleotides) under Physcomitrium patens. RNAcentral's name for it is "Physcomitrella patens miR536c stem-loop (ppt-MIR536c)". Its record names the gene ppt-MIR536c. Lineage: Eukaryota; Viridiplantae; Streptophyta; Bryopsida; Funariales; Funariaceae. The record is from miRBase by way of RNAcentral.
UUGUUCGACCAUUGCAGUUGCUUUUAGACGCCAAUGCUUGGCAUGAAUGUCUUGAGUGUCUGGUAGCCUAAAACAGAGAGAUGAUGCAAUUGGUAUGUGGAUCUUCUCUGGUUUUAGAGGAAUCGUUCGCUGGCCUCCAGGUUCGAGACAAUCGUGCCAAGCUUUGUGCUUUCAAGAGCCUUAAUGGUUUUGGACGAUGGGUUCUACUGGAUCUCUAACAUC